Molecule: ribosomal RNA, 253 nt
Filed under: uncultured bacterium
Lineage: Bacteria
Description: partial 16S ribosomal RNA
Rfam family: Bacterial small subunit ribosomal RNA
Source: RNAcentral
UACGAAGGGGGCUAGCGUUGCUCGGAAUCACUGGGCGUAAAGCGCACGUAGGCGGAUUCCUAAGUCGGGGGUGAAAUCCUGGAGCUCAACUCCAGAACUGCCUUCGAUACUGGGAAGCUUGAGUCCGGAAGAGGUGAGUGGAACUGCGAGUGUAGAGGUGAAAUUCGUAGAUAUUCGCAAGAACACCAGUGGCGAAGGCGGCUCACUGGUCCGGUACUGACGCUGAGGUGCGAAAGCGUGGGGAGCAAACAGG